RNAcentral lists this ribosomal RNA (221 nucleotides) under uncultured bacterium. Its description in RNAcentral is "partial 16S ribosomal RNA". It matches the Rfam family "Bacterial small subunit ribosomal RNA", at positions 111 to 334 of the family's 1533-position model. The record is from RNAcentral.
UAAUGUAUGGGGGAUCGUCCCGAUAGAGGGGGAUAACUACUGGAAACGGUGGCUAAUACCGCAUAAUGUCUACGGACCAAAGCAGGGGCUCUUCGGACCUUGCACUAUCGGAUGAACCCAUAUGGGAUUAGCUAGUAGGUGGGGUAAAGGCUCACCUAGGCGACGAUCUCUAGCUGGUCUGAGAGGAUGAUCAGCCACACUGGGACUGAGACACGGCCCAG